This 1129-nucleotide long non-coding RNA is filed under the name Mus musculus (house mouse). Its description in RNAcentral is "predicted gene, 32006". The record is from RNAcentral. Lineage: Eukaryota; Metazoa; Chordata; Mammalia; Rodentia; Muridae.
AAGAAGACUCCUGGACACUUUACAAUGGGACCUGGAUGCCGGGCCUGAACAAGCUGGCUGUCCCCAGAGCUCAUGACAUUUGAUCUUCAACCCAAGGACAGCCCAUGCUUCCUGUGGUUGCUGUCUUUUGGUUUGUCGGUGCCUCUGUCCCCUGUUGGGCUCCUUGGAGGGAGCUUGCUUGCAAGCAGACGGAUGGAAGCCCACCUGACCUGUCUAGCUGUGGCCACUUCCUCCUUCCCAGCUCAGCCUUUGCUGUGAGAGCUCGGAGUGAAUGCCUUUGAGACCAAACAACAGGAAACCACGAAGCAGGGCUGACCUGGCCCAGGUCUACUGCACUGCAUGGCAGCCUGGGGUCUCCAGCUGCUGCUGAAGCUUCCCCCAAGAACACUUUAGAUUUGCAGUGAGCAAAGGAGCUGUUCUUAGGGUACAUUGGAGGUGUGAGGCCAGGAACAGGAGCACACCAGGAUGAAGGAGCACACCAGGAUGAAGGAGCACACCAGGAUGAAGGAGCACACCAGGAUGAAGGAGCACACCAGGAUGAAGGAGCACACCAGGAUGAAGGAGCACACCAGGAUGAAGGAGCACACCAGGAUGAAGGAGCACAGGCCCUACUUGUCAAGCCUGCUGACUUGGGCUGCUCAGGCUUCUGGUCUUUCAGCCCGGACAGGGGGUAACUGUUCUCUGGGGAUGGAGCUGUGAACGAGGCAAGAACUCAGUUCACAACAGAGCCAACAGAACUCAGAGAGGCACGAGGCACCAGCCCAAGUACUGCCUAAGAAAGAGGGAUGGGGACCCAGGUGGUGCCGAGCUGCGGUGGUCCUUCGGGUGCUAUAAACGCUCAGAUCACCCCGUCUCCUGUAACUCCACGUCUGUGCUCCCAAGAGGAAGAGCAUCAAGCUCAGUGCUCCGUGAGGCUGGAUGUGGAUGGAUUCUGUCUGGUCCUCUCCGGCCUGGGGGGACAUCAGAGCACAGGCUGGUGAGCCGGCCCUGUGGGUGAAGACAGUUCACCUACCCGAUGGCCUGAACUGACUUCCACAGGUGUCCUCCGAUCUGACUGCUACCCCUGUGCUCUGUCUGCAUCCUCUCCUGGUAACUAAAACUAUCAUUAAAACCCUUUUAAAAGCUGUCA